CGGAUUGCAGUCUGCAACUCGAGUGCAUGAAGCUGGAAUCGCUAGUAAUCCGCGGAUCAGCAUGCCGCGGUGAAUACGUUCCCGGGCCUUGUACACACCGCCCGUCACACCAUGAGAGUCGGGAACACCCGAAGUCCGUAGUCUAACCGCGAAGGGGGGCGCGGCCGAAGGUGGGUUCGAAUAAUUGGGGUGAAGUCGUAACAAGGUAAC
RNAcentral lists this ribosomal RNA (210 nucleotides) under uncultured bacterium. RNAcentral describes it as "partial 16S ribosomal RNA". It matches the Rfam family "Bacterial small subunit ribosomal RNA", at positions 1294 to 1500 of the family's 1533-position model. The record is from RNAcentral.